Non-coding RNA from Acanthosepion pharaonis, 104 nucleotides. NCBI's taxonomy places the organism in Eukaryota, Metazoa, Mollusca, Cephalopoda, Sepiida, Sepiidae. The record is from the annotation of a GenBank genome assembly.
UUACGGCCACAUCACGUUGAAACACCAGUUCCCGUAGGAUCACCAAAGUUAAGCAACGUCAAGCCUGGUCAGUAAUUAGACGGGUGACCGCUUUGUAAUCUUGG